Serinus canaria (Common canary) is the source of this 1628-nucleotide long non-coding RNA. The record is from Ensembl. NCBI's taxonomy places the organism in Eukaryota, Metazoa, Chordata, Aves, Passeriformes, Fringillidae.
GUGGUGCUGCAGCAUGGGGACAGCCGCCUCUACCGCCUCAGGGCCCAGGAGGAGGCCACAACCUGGUUCCAUCUGCACGUUGUGGAGCCGCUGUCCCCACCAGAAAUUGUGGGCAACUCCUUGGUGAAGGCAGGAGGCAACACCAAACUGGUUUGCACCGUGGUGCGAGGGACAGCAGAUGCCUACUGGUGGAAGAAAAAUGGGGAGCUGCUCGUGGGAAGUGAGCGCAUCCAGUUUGUGGAGAACACCACGCUUCGCAUCCUGCGGGUGUCCAUCAGUGACAGUGGCUACUACACCUGCGUGGUGAGCAACGCCGUGAGCCAGAAUGAGACCUCCUUCCUGCUCAAGGUCCACCACUCUGCCCAUGUGGUGCUGCCUGUGGUCCUGUCCUGUGUCAUGGUCGGCUCACUCGCAGGUGUCUUUGUCUGGUACCAGAGAAGGAAGAACUCAUGUGACAGCUGUUGGUAGUGCUGGGUCAGCCCUGCUGCUACCCUUCCCUGGUGACCCUGGUGAUGGGUACUGCUGGGAGUGCCAGGUGUCCCAUCCCAUCCCAGCCUCUCCUGUGCUCACCUGUGAAAUGUUCAAGCUGCCAGAACCUGCAAAUAUUUUUUUGGAAAACACUGGUUUGGACUAUUUCUAUGUUGUCCUGUUCUUCCUGUUGUGCAUCCCUGGGGAGAGGGAUGUACCUGCUCCCUCCAUCCUCCUGGCUUCCUCCAGAGGCCUCGAUGUGCUCUUGGCUCUGGAAGAGCCACUGUCCCUGCUGGGCAAAUCCACAGUCCUGGGGCUGCUGGGAGGUGCCUCCUGGGGGCCUCCUGGUGUCCUGCUGUGCCAGGGGUUUGCCAGGGGGCUCAGGGGCUGAGGCUCUGGGCAUCCUGCUCCUUGUGACCCUUGGAGGGAGGAAAGGGCAGGAUUGUGCUGGGUGUGCAGCUGGAGGGAGAGGAGGCAGCAGAAGCUGGCAGGGAAUGGGGGAGCAGCAAAGGAGUUAGGUUUCUGAAAGCAGAUCCCAAGGAAAUCCCUGCAGCUGGCUGAAGUGGGGGUGCUCCUGAGCCCAUCUCCUCCAGCCCUGGGCUCUGCAGGAUCGGGGGAUAUCCCUGGGGACAUCCCUCCUCUUCCCAGCACCAGUGCUGGUGCCAGCUUGUCCUUCCCAUUUGCUGUUCCUGCGGGUGACAUCGGCCUUGGCCUGGCUGGAUACAGGGAGCCCUGCUCCUGUCCCCUGAUGUCCUCUCCCUCCCCGUGCUGCCUCUGCAGGGCUUUCCUAGGCUGUGCUGUGGAGGGGAUGUUACUCUUUCGGCUGAGCCUGGAGGCAGAGCAGACAUCCCCAGCCUGGAGAGACCUGGAUCCUUUCCCAGGUGCUGGACCCCACUGUUGGUCACCCUGGAACAUUUGCAUCCCCUCUUAAUCUGAGGGGGAAAUCCCAGGUCCAGGGCCCUCCCUGAGCCAGUCCCCAGCACCUCUGGAGCAGGCUGGGGACCUCUCAAAGGCAAACUGGAAAAUUGUGGGAGAGAUCACUGGGAGAUUCAGGGGCUGUUAGCAAGGGGCCAUCUCAGCCUCGGGUUUUGUGGAGCCAUUAAAGGUAGCAGAGGAGUUUGGGUGGAAUAAAUGAGAUUCCAGUCCUGUUGGAAGCUGCA